This is a non-coding RNA of Salvelinus sp. IW2-2015, 4050 nucleotides long. The record is from RefSeq and is a predicted model, not a curated record. NCBI's taxonomy places the organism in Eukaryota, Metazoa, Chordata, Actinopteri, Salmoniformes, Salmonidae.
UUUUAAGAAAAAAUGUGACUAAGAAAAUGUAUUUCAAAAGAACAGAGUAAAAUAUGUUCAGUUUUAUUUUAUUACUAGAAGUUGUUGCUUAGUAGCUGGCGGCUAUGCUGUGCAUGGAACAGCCUUUUUGGUUGGGAAAAGUUAUAUUUUGAAAUAGAGCUCAUCUCAGUUAUUUGUCAAGUAAAGGUCUUUCUGAUAGAUAAAAAUGACCUGCAUGAACCUGUAGGUUUAUUAUAAAAUGCUGCUUUUUGGUUAAGCUUAGUUAAUUACAAACGCUUCAAUGUUUCUCUUUCUCUCCUCGGACCCAAACACAUUUGCACACAUGCAGGUGAUUGAUGCGCACAACAUUACAUUUCCAGGAUUUUCAUGACCGUGUGCUGACCAACAAUUAGCUAUAACUGGGCUAAUAACUCAUUAACCAGCAAGGAAUAUCAACAAAUGUCCACAUGUGGCUACAGAUAGAUCUGCUCAAAAGCAUAUUCUUAUUCAAAUAAUUUUUUUAAUAUUGUGAUUAUUAUUUUUACAUUUAUUUUUUAACAUAGAUUCAUCUUUUGCUUGUCUGACACUUCUUUUUUUUACUUGCCCCGGACAAUCUGAAAGUCAAGCCUUACUAUUGUCAAUAGGAAUCAUUCGACCCAAAGUUGGCCGUUUUUAGUUUGUCUCAGAAUCAGCACAAAAAGGAGUGUUAUUAAGGAUCACCUUGGGCUAGAUCUUCGUGUGUUAAGCCAGUUAUGACCAAUCCUGUUGCUACCACCUAGUGACUCAGUCACACAUAACAUCUGCAGGUUUUAGUGCCUCAUUACUGAUGACAUCAUUUCAGUGGAAUAGUCAGCUCAUGAGUGUCAUACUAAAUGGGCUGUCCCAUCCAAGUCCUCCAAGACUACUUUGUUAAAGGUUACUCGUACAUUAGUCUCAAAACAUCUGUUACAACCAUAUUCUGCCUUUAAUGGAACCUCUGAACACCAUUUUCCUCUGUUCUGAUGAUGUUAACAGUAUAAUGAGAGCUUGGUAAUGUGUUUGAAGUUAGCUCCUGUGAGAACUAAAAUCAUAACUGGCCUCAAAAAACCACAGUGAGACUGGUGAUCUAAAGUCAAUGGCAAAAAACAUGUUAUGUAUCGGUUCAAAAUAAGACCUCUAUAAUAUUUUGAUGUAAUGUUUUACUGGGUAUUGGGAUUGGUAUAAAUGAGUAGAGAGUGUGGGCUCUGAUUGUGUGAUAUGAACAUUACAUGUCAUUUGGAACAUACUAGUGAUCAUUUUGUAUUUCACAGUGUAGAAGUUGUUUUCCUAGUAAAAACUUUAACUUGUGCAUCAUGAGUUGAGUUGAAUGUUGAAUACAUUUCCUCAUCUUAGGGUUUUCUGACCUCUUCUAAACAUUUUGGGCGGUCAAUAAUGGGAAAGCAUUUGAUCUUGCUAAAAAAGCAGAAGUAUCAAAUGUGCACGAGUCUGUGAGUGUUGUAGUUCCCACUUGUGUGCCUAACAUUUGGUUGCCCAAUACUGUAUAUAGGAGGAGGGGUUAUGCGUUGUGUUUUUACAGAUGUUGCUCCUUCCUGAGGAUGGUAAAAAACAAGCUCAUUUGACAGUCAAGUGUUACAUAUGCAUAUGACCAUACAAAAUAAUAUAUACCAUACUAUACAACAAAUAUGAGAGAGUGAGAAAAAAACUAAAAAACACUGCAACAGUUAUAGAACCUACUCAUGUGAACCAAGAUGAGUAUCCUCUUCUGUAAUUGUAUAAAUUUCCCUGUAGUGUUUCUCAGAAAAAUACAACUUUGCAUCACAAAAGUUCCUCUUCUGUGAAGUUUUAAACAACCCUGAACGUAUUCAACCCCAGUGUAAAGUGCUUUUCUUCACUGCUUAUGGGAUCCAUAUGCAAGUGACAGAUAUUUGUAUUUUUUGGCAGUGCUCAGUGAAUGACGUGACAGGCGUGGUAAUAACAAUGAGAACACAAUUCAUUCCAGAUCUUUACAGACUUUGCACCCCGAAGUUGGCUAAGGGAAAAUCAAAAAGGGUGCGGUCAUGGUAUUUUAGUUCUGCUGGUUCAAAUAUACAUAUUGUGAAUGAUCAUUGACAUUUUUCGCUUUACUACAAUAAACGAAAGUAAAAUGUUCUAUCAUUCUAAAGUUCCCUGCCUGUCCGGACGGCUGUGCUCCGCGCGCAGUACUCAGAAUGUGGGUACAGUACAUAGGAAAUGACUCAUAGGAGUUGAACUGUUAGCGUGGGUGUGUACUCUAUUAAAACAAGGCUCAGACUACUCCGGGUGACUCAUUGUGAGGCUAGCUUUUCCAUGGUGAAAAACAAAACAGGCUUUUCAUCAGAUGAACUUUCGGGAAUUUCGUUUAUACAAGAACCAUGGCUUCAAACAUUAUCUGUGCGCUUUGUGGACUUGUCAUUGCGACUGUAGCGAACCUAAACGGCGUGAACGGGCAACAAAACCUAUGCAGUAGUUCAGAGUUCUGGAGUUCAGACAUAGACCAAUGCGUAUCCUGCUCAUCAUGCAAGCAGUAUCCAAAGACCCCUUCCUGUAACACUUGCACAUUCACCAAGGAAAGAUCUGAUGUCUGGAGACUGGCAGCCAUUUCCAGCUUCUCUGUGCUGGCAGUUAUUCUGGUCGCUGCAGUAUUGAUCAUUGGAGUCAUGGUGCAUCGACGCAAGGCACAGAAGAGGCCCCUUCGUGAACCCAUUGAAGAGACAACGGGACCUCUUUACCAAGCGUAAACAUUUCACCUCAUCUUCCUUCUGACAUUGAUGUGACAGAACCAAGGGAACAUCUUUGGAUGACCAACCGAAACAGAAUCAUUUUGAUACAAUACCCUGACCACAGGGUAUUAUUUGAGUGGAGUUUGACCAUUUAAUUUAUUAUACUGUUAGUAAAGAUGUGUUCACAUACACUCAGUGUGUUACGGAACGGAGCUCUCACAUAGAACUGUGUUAACUAGCGCUGUCAAUCCCCUAUCUUGUCUGCAGUCAGACUGUACUCUGAGGAAGACAAUGUAGUUAGUAAAGAGUAUCUCUCACAGCUCUUUUUGAAAUGAUGGCCUUUGAGUAGUGAUGCCAGGUUGAGCUUUUGUAGAUGUUCCAAUAAUCUAUCGAUAAGUAAGUUGUUCAAUCAAUAAGUAGUUUAAAAAACAGUACUGAACAUGAGACACAUCUUGAAUGAUGUGGAUUUCUAACCAUUACUGUCAAUGCUUGAACACCUAUUGUUUUAUUGUAGCUUAUUAGGACGAAUACCAACUACCGAACUGCCUCGACUUGCCAUCAGCAGGAUAAAAGUGAAUACAGCACAAUCGUGCUUCCUGGGCCAGGUUUCACAUACUGUACUUCUAUAAGAGUAAAAGGUUUCUAUUUAACGUCCUCAUGGUAAUGAAAAGUAAAAGGGAAAUGUUAGAUUAUAAAUUCAUGUUGGGCACAUUUUGGCAAUUUGAAUGUACUUUUAGGGCAAUUUAUCCAGUCUGUGUUUCCAUGUAGGAACUAUAUGCACUUAGAGCUACUUAGAGCUUGUUGUUUUUAACUCAUCAUUUUUAAAGGAGUAGAAUUCUUUUAACAGUAUUGUGCACUGUACUCUCUAGGAUCUUCCAAUCAAAAGAGGCAAAGGGGAAAAUAAGUUAACUGAUUAUGAAACUGCUCAAGCGUAUUGGACAUUCUUACACAGGUCAUUUAACCAUCAUACUGUAAUAUGUGUGUAUGCAGGAUAAGUAGCAUAACACAGGGGCUUGCAAACUGUCGUGAUGGAAAAGUUCAAGGUGGUCCAGAAUUCCGUGGGAAUGUGUUUGUAUAGGUCAGGGAUGGGCAACUUAGAUGGGGGUGGGGGCCACAAAAUAUCUGAAAACAUCAUGAGGGGCCGCAGUUGUGCCACCGCCCAAUUCUACACAUUUUGCAAUAUGGUGGAGAGAAUUGUUUGCAGUUUUAAUUAUGAUAUCUUACUGAGACUGACUAACAAAAUCAACGGGGGCCCCCCGGGUGGUAAUUUGACCACGAUUACUACAAGUUUAGAUAGCUGGGUGCUAGACUAAUUUACCAAUCUAUAAAAGGUUAGCUGACAUGGGCUAAUUGA